RNAcentral lists this ribosomal RNA (291 nucleotides) under uncultured bacterium. Its description in RNAcentral is "partial 16S ribosomal RNA". It matches the Rfam family "Bacterial small subunit ribosomal RNA", at positions 505 to 796 of the family's 1533-position model. The record is from RNAcentral.
GUGCCAGCCGCCGCGGUAAUACGUAGGUGGCGAGCGUUGUCCGGAAUUAUUGGGCGUAAAGCGCGCGCAGGCGGGAAAGUAAGUCUACUCUAAAAGUGCGGGGCUCAACCCCGUGAUGGGGUGGAAACUGCUUUUCUUGAGUGCCGGAGAGGAAAGCGGAAUUCCCAGUGUAGCGGUGAAAUGCGUAGAUAUUGGGAGGAACACCAGUGGCGAAGGCGGCUUUCUGGACGGUGUCUGACGCUGAGGCGCGAAAGCCAGGGGAGCGAACGGGAUUAGAAACCCUUGUAGUCC